UAACCAACAAAAAUCUUACUGAGUUCCUCAUUUUUUACAGAAGUGAAGGAUGGAAGGGACUCUUUGGACAUACUGAAGGCUUGAUCAAGUUUUAGAGGAAGACAAUAUAAUUAUUUAUGACCUAUGGACACCUGGAGGAAGUGUGUGAGAAAUUUAUCCCGGAUACUUCUUUAGAACAAGAUCAGUGGCAGUAUCUACACCAGAACAUCUUUCCUUUUUGUCCAGAAUGAAUAAGGGUACAGACGUGCUUUGUGGCAAGGAAAAAGUCAGCUUUUCCUUAGUGAUCAGGAGUGAGAAGCACUUUCAUGGCGUUGAAUCUCAGCGGAGUAAGUUGAAUCAUUGCCGUACCCGUAUGCUUGCUGGUAUGAAGGAAAAAAGGAAAACUUUGGUAACUAAUAAAUUCCAUCACCAGGCGCUGGUGCUCACUCCUAUAACCCUAGCUACUCAAGAGGCAGAGAUCAGGAGGACUGUGGAUCAAAGCCAGCCAGGCAAAUAGUUCAAGAGACCCCAUCUCAAAAAAUCCAAUACACACACAAAAAAAAAGGCUGGUGGAGUGGCUCCAAGUGUAGGCUCUGUGUUCAAACCCAGGGCUGCUAAAUAAAUAAGUAAAUAAAUAAAUAAAAUGGAAAGAG
RNAcentral lists this long non-coding RNA (632 nucleotides) under Castor canadensis (American beaver). RNAcentral's name for it is "lncRNA (ENSCCNG00000013811.1)". Lineage: Eukaryota; Metazoa; Chordata; Mammalia; Rodentia; Castoridae. The record is from RNAcentral.